RNAcentral lists this ribosomal RNA (484 nucleotides) under uncultured bacterium. RNAcentral describes it as "partial 16S ribosomal RNA". It matches the Rfam family "Bacterial small subunit ribosomal RNA", at positions 30 to 507 of the family's 1533-position model. The record is from RNAcentral.
AUUGAACGCUGGCGGCAGGCCUAACACAUGCAAGUCGAGCGGAUGAAGGGAGCUUGCUCCUGGAUUCAGCGGCGGACGGGUGAGUAAUGCCUAGGAAUCUGCCUGGUAGUAGGGGAUAACGUCCGGAAACGGGCGCUAAUACCGCAUACGUCCUGAGGGAGAAAGUGGGGGAACUUCGGACCUCACGCUAUCAGAUGAGCCUAGGUCGGAUUAGCUAGUUGGUGGGGUAAAGGCCUACCAAGGCGACGAUCCGUAACUGGUCUGAGAGGAUGAUCAGUCACACUGGAACUGAGACACGGUCCAGACUCCUACGGGAGGCAGCAGUGGGGAAUAUUGGACAAUGGGCGAAAGCCUGAUCCAGCCAUGCCGCGUGUGUGAAGAAGGUCUUCGGAUUGUAAAGCACUUUAAGUUGGGAGGAAGGGCAGUAAGUUAAUACCUUGCUGUUUUGACGUUACCAACAGAAUAAGCACCGGCUAACUUCGUG